RNAcentral lists this ribosomal RNA (253 nucleotides) under uncultured bacterium. RNAcentral describes it as "partial 16S ribosomal RNA". It matches the Rfam family "Bacterial small subunit ribosomal RNA", at positions 524 to 776 of the family's 1533-position model. The record is from RNAcentral.
UACGGAGGAUGCAAGCGUUAUCCGGAAUGAUUGGGCGUAAAGGGUCCGCAGGUGGCAGUGUAAGUCUGCUGUCAAAGAAUGAGGCUUAACCUCAUCAAGGCAGUGGAAACUACACAGCUAGAGUACGGUCGGGGUAGAAGGAAUUCCUGGUGUAGCGGUGAAAUGCGUAGAUAUCAGGAGGAACACCGGUGGCGAAAGCGCUCAUCUGGCCCGAUACUGACGCUGAUGCGCGAAAGCUAGGGGAGCGAACGGG